UGGGGAAUAUUGCGCAAUGGGCGGAAGCCUGACGCAGCGACGCCGCGUGGGGGAUGACGGCCUUCGGGUUGUAAACCUCUUUCAGCAGGGACGAAGCCGGAAGGUGACGGUACCUGCAGAAGAAGCACCGGCCAACUACGUGCCAGCAGCCGCGGUAAUACGUAGGGUGCAAGCGUUGUCCGGAAUUAUUGGGCGUAAAGAGCUCGUAGGCGGUCUGUCGCGUCGGCUGUGAAAACCCGGAGCUCAACUCCGGGCCUGCAGUCGAUACGGGCAGACUGGAGUUCGGCAGGGGAGACUGGAAUUCCUGGUGUAGCGGUGAAAUGCGCAGAUAUCAGGAGGAACACCGGUGGCGAAGGCGGGUCUCUGGGCCGAUACUGACGCUGAGGAGCGAAAGCGUGGGGAGCGAACAGGAUUAGAUACCCCCGUAGUCC
RNAcentral lists this ribosomal RNA (431 nucleotides) under uncultured bacterium. RNAcentral's name for it is "bacterial SSU rRNA". It matches the Rfam family "Bacterial small subunit ribosomal RNA", at positions 355 to 796 of the family's 1533-position model. The record is from RNAcentral.